CCUCCCCUCACAUUCCCCUUCCCUAACCUAGCUCCCUUCCUCGCUGCCUCCUCCCCUCCCGCCGCCGCCUCUGCCCGUCCUGCUCCCGUCCUGCUCCCGUCCUCUUUUUCUCCUCCCCUCCCAUUGCCCAUCCGCCCUGGCCCAUCUCCUCCCCGCCAGCCGAGCCCUCCCGCCGCCGCCACCGCCCGUCCUGCUCCCUUCCUCUCUGUCUCCUCCCCUCCCAUCACCCAUCCGCCCUGGCCCAUCUCCUCCCCGUCUGCUGAGCGGCCGCGGCCGCUCGUGGUGCUGCUCUACCGGAGGAGUGUGCCACAAAAGCGGCCGAGCGUGAGGUGCCAGCAGACCGCACCGGUGGCCGCCGCCAUGGGGACCGAUGAGGGCAUCAUGAUGAGGUGAAUAUCGUGCUCUCUCUCUCUCUCAUCGAUGCUUCUUCCAUCUCCCGUCGUGCAGGUUGCCGCUGCGUCCAUAGCAGAGGGGAUCCGGCCGGCAUGCCGCGUCAAACCUUGCUCCAAGCCUGCAUCUACUACCUCGCCAGGUGACAGGAGGGGGCAGCUCAAACAGGAAAUUGCUGAAAUCACAGAGGAGCAUGGAAAGAUCGAUGAGGCUACUGAAAUCAAGCAGGAAGUUGUUGAAAUGCAUUGGACUAUCCGCUCUACAGCAUGGAUUGGGUGGCCAGACUCUGCGUCCGUGUAUCUCUCCUGUGGCAUUAUCGUGGUGGUCUUGAAAUUGGCCCCGUCAAGCUUAUACACAUGGUUCUCGUUGAUGAGUGAUGCCCAUAGGAUAGCUCCAUCAGAGAAAACACCUCCACACACCCCUCUGCAGCCAUGAACAAACACAAUGGAUUGUGUGCAUCUUCUAAAGAAACAGGGAAGGGAAGCGUUGUCUGUAGAUCACUUUUCCCUUGAAAAAAAUAGAAAGAGACGAGCUUACCAUCGAUGUUACAAUUGAAUGGAGGGGAACCCCUUUGCUGUGUUGCUCUACAAAAAAACACCUCAAAGUUUCACACCUUUUGGAUCCUACCUUUUUGUACCUUCUCAAGACCUGUUAUUCAGCUCAUGUGCAUAUUAUGACCCGUGUCAUCUGAUGUAGGGUGGGACCCUAUAGAUCUUUCACGUUUGGAGUGGAUCGUACGGGGAAUCACGAAGAGCACGCGGAAGCACAAAGGGAAACACGGGGAAAACGAGAGAGAGAAUCACUAAACCAACAAGGAAUCGAUCACACAAGUGCUAGAUGACCACACACAUAAGAGAUACACGAGAUCCAAAGUCAACACAGACUGUAGGUACUGCUGACCGUAAAGCUAUAAAUCCAGCUCUGCAUGCUUUUGUCCGUGCAACUAAGAUCAAUUUUCCGAUUCAUUUAUUGUGAAAUCUUAUUCUACAAGAGGCAAAAGGUCAUUUCUAUUUGUUCUUAAUCUUAAUAUGUAUUCCUGCCUCCGAUACCCUCACAAAUUUAAUGGAUUCUCCUGUUAUUAUUUUCUUAUAGUUUUAUCUGGAGCAUUGGCAUCUCUAGCCGAGCCGCGCAAGCAGAAAGCGGAGCAGGAGCAGCUCGGGGAGGAAGCCAAGGUCUAAAAUGCCGAAUCUCCCAAUAAAGUGUAGAUCCGUGUGUCACAACAUGCAAGCAAAUCAAAUGAAGGAGUGUGGACAAAGUUAUAUAUCAAGCAAAUCGAAUGAAGGCGUGUGGACAAAGUUAUAUAUGCAAUAGUCAACCAUGUAGUUUACUAUUGUGCAGUAUGAAAAAUAGUGUAAAUAAGUUAUCUGAGACUAAUACUAUGGCCUGCUUUUGGUUUCUAUCAUACCAAACGUUGCUUUGGUAUUUCAUGUCACAUUGUAUAACAAAUGUGCCGAUGGCAUGUAGAUAGGGCCAUGUUUUUAGAUAUUUUACGAGGUGAUUACUGUUGUGAGUAUCUACCAUCACCUACUCUUUGAGUAAUAUCAUAUAUAUUUCCAUCCUGGGGUAUAUUGAGUAAUAUCA
Long non-coding RNA from Triticum aestivum (bread wheat), 1971 nucleotides. RefSeq lists it as uncharacterized. The record is from RefSeq and is a predicted model, not a curated record. The transcript is spliced from 7 exons. Lineage: Eukaryota; Viridiplantae; Streptophyta; Magnoliopsida; Poales; Poaceae.